ACGGCUCAGUAACACGUGGAUAACCUGCCGUUGGGUCCGGCAUAACUCCGGGAAACUGGAGAUAAUUCCGGAUAACGCACAUAUGCUGGAAUGCUUUAUGCGUAAAAUGGAUUCGUCUGCCCAAGGAUGGGUCUGCGGCCUAUCAGGUAGUAGUGGGUGUAAUGUACCUACUAGCCAACAACGGGUACGGGUUGUGAGAGCAAGAGCCCGGAGAUGGAUUCUGAGACAUGAAUCCAGGCCCUACGGGGCGCAGCAGGCGCGAAAACUUUACAAUGCGGGAAACCGUGAUAAGGGGACACCGAGUGCUAGCAUCAUAUGCUAGCUGUCCAGGUGUGUAAAAUACACCUGUCAGCAAGGGCCGGGCAAGACCGGUGCCAGCCGCCGCGGUAACACCGGCGGCCCGAGUGGUGAUCGUGAUUAUUGGGUCUAAAGGGUCCGUAGCCGGUUUGGUCAGUCCUCCGGGAAAUCCGAUAGCUCAACUAUUAGGCUUUCGGGGGAUACUGCCAGACUUGGAACCGGGAGAGGUAAGAGGUACUACAGGGGUAGGAGUGAAAUCUUGUAAUCCCUGUGGGACCACCUGUGGCGAAGGCGUCUUACCAGAACGGGUUCGACGGUGAGGGACGAAAGCUGGGGGCACGAACCGGAUUAGAUACCCGGGUAGUCCCAGCCGUAAACGAUGCUCGCUAGGUGUCAGGCAUGGCGCGACCGUGUCUGGUGCCGCUGGGAAGCCGUGAAGCGAGCCACCUGGGAAGUACGGCCGCAAGGCUGAAACUUAAAGGAAUUGGCGGGGGAGCAC
RNAcentral lists this ribosomal RNA (796 nucleotides) under uncultured archaeon. RNAcentral's name for it is "bacterial SSU rRNA". It matches the Rfam family "Archaeal small subunit ribosomal RNA", at positions 85 to 879 of the family's 1478-position model. The record is from RNAcentral.